AUACUUACCUGGACGGGGUCGACGGCCGAUCAAGAAGGGCCGUGGCCUAGAUCAAUGGCUCACAUUGCACUUGGUGAGCGCGUUGGUUUACCAUCUCCCCAAGUGGGAGAGUGGACGUCAUAAUUUGUGAUAGAGGGGGUACGCGUUCGCGCGGCCCCUGU
This 161-nucleotide small nuclear RNA is filed under the name Oryza rufipogon (brownbeard rice). RNAcentral's name for it is "snRNA U1". It matches the Rfam family "U1 spliceosomal RNA". From Rfam's summary of the family: U1 is a small nuclear RNA (snRNA) component of the spliceosome (involved in pre-mRNA splicing). Its 5' end forms complementary base pairs with the 5' splice junction, thus defining the 5' donor site of an intron. Lineage: Eukaryota; Viridiplantae; Streptophyta; Magnoliopsida; Poales; Poaceae. The record is from RNAcentral. RNAcentral also lists the same sequence under 1 other name.